RNAcentral lists this ribosomal RNA (377 nucleotides) under uncultured bacterium. Its description in RNAcentral is "bacterial SSU rRNA". It matches the Rfam family "Bacterial small subunit ribosomal RNA", at positions 521 to 896 of the family's 1533-position model. The record is from RNAcentral.
UAAGACGUAGGGUGCAAGCGUUGUCCGGAUUUAUUGGGCGUAAAGAGCUCGUAGGCGGCUUGUCGCGUCGACCGUGAAAACUCAGGGCUCAACUUUGAGCUUGCGGUCGAUACGGGCAGGCUAGAGUGCGGUAGGGGAGACUGGAAUUCCUGGUGUAGCGGUGAAAUGCGCAGAUAUCAGGAGGAACACCGGUGGCGAAGGCGGGUCUCUGGGCCGUUACUGACGCUGAGGAGCGAAAGCGUGGGGAGCGAACAGGAUUAGAUACCCUGGUAGUCCACGCUGUAAACGUUGGGCGCUAGGUGUGGGGGCCUCUCCAGGCCUCUGUGCCGCAGCUAACGCAUUAAGCGCCCCGCCUGGGGAGUACGGCCGCAAGGCUA